Molecule: long non-coding RNA, 677 nt
Filed under: Equus asinus (donkey)
Lineage: Eukaryota; Metazoa; Chordata; Mammalia; Perissodactyla; Equidae
Description: lncRNA (ENSEASG00005030230.1)
Source: RNAcentral
UGGCAAAUCACACUCCCGGCUCAGACCGCAUUUGGUAAGUGCCGGUGUCACGGAGAUAUUCCUUCAGAGUCAGAGCGACGGACGCUCAGCAGAGUCUUCCAGAGAAGAUGGGACUUCAAACCGCACAUGCAAGGAUGGUUAGGACCUGGAGAGAAAGGACAUCCUCUCACGCAGCAAUUCCAGAGAGCCGAGUACUGAUGCGCUUGGAUCCAGAGGGGCAGAGAGCCGCAAAGUCGGGGCAUCAAGUGACUACGAUGGCGCAUGUGUGCAUCGAUGUUUGUGGUUGUCUCCCUGGUGUGGACCCGGGACCAAGCUUCAGCAUCCGGCACUAGAGCAACACGGGGCCUGUGCGUGCCGAUGGUCUUAACAGCGUUUGGUAAUUAAAAGAGAUACCUAGGUCAAGAGUUUUGAUAAUCCACGUGUGGUAAAUGUGGUUCACAGACUGUCCUCUACUUUUAUGAACCCACACUUUGGUAUACUAUAUACUGACAUCCCUGAGCCACAUUCCCCAUGCUGAAUUAGGUCUUUCCGUACAUCAGCAGGCUAAUAAUAACUUCCAUCCAUCUCCUGGGUGAGGUUCUGUAGUUUCCAGCAAAUGAUUUUCCUCCUCUCCACCUCCCCCAUCCCUCACUGCACCGACCUGCCCUCCAGGACUGAGACUGGAGCUGAGACUGGUG